RNAcentral lists this long non-coding RNA (2328 nucleotides) under Sus scrofa (pig). RNAcentral describes it as "lncRNA (ENSSSCG00000051986.1)". Lineage: Eukaryota; Metazoa; Chordata; Mammalia; Artiodactyla; Suidae. The record is from RNAcentral.
UGCUGUGUAACAGAGUACCCCAAGACCGUUGCUUUAAAUAAUGAACAUUUAGUAUUUCACAGUUUCUGUGUGUCAGGAAUCUGGGUACAGCUCAGCUGGGUGCCUCUGCCUCAAGGUCUAGCCUGGAGUUAUGAUCACAUCUGAAGGCUCGGUGGGGGGGUCUGCUUCUGAACUCACUCAUGGGUGUUGGCAGGAUUCAGGUCCACACAGGUCUUUCAGCCGGUGUUGUCAUUUCCUCACUGGCUAUCGACCUCAGCUCCUUGCUAUGUAGGCUUAUCCCUGGGGCAGCUCACAACAUGAUAGAAGAAGAAAGGGAGACUAGUGAGGAAGACAGGAAGAAUACAUGAGAAAGAGACUGGGGAGCAAAAGUGCAACUCAAGUGUCUUUGUAACCUCAUGUUGAAAGUGUAGUUCUAUCACUUUUGCAAAUUCUGUUCAUUAGAAGAGCAUAACUAGGAGCUCCUUUUGUGGCUCAGCAGGUUGAAGACCUGAUGUCUCUGUGAGGAUGUGGGUUUGAUCCCUGGCCUCGCUCAGUGGGUUAAGGUUCUGGCAUUGCCAUAAGCUGCCUAGUGUUGCCAUGGCUGCAGCAUAGGCCUCAGGUGCAGCUCCUAGCCUGGGAAUUUCCAUAUGCCAUAUGCUGCAGGAUCAUUUGCAAAAAACAAAAACAAAAACAAAAAAAAAAGAGAGAGAGAGAGAGAGAGAAAGAGAGAGAGGGGCCCUAGUGGUUAAUUUCCAGUUGACAUUUGGCAUUUGAAAUGAGAAUUUUAUGAAUUAUCAAAACUUUUAUCUGAUGAGUUUAUGGAAACUCACCUAAGGAGAUAAUUCUUUUUUUAAAAAAUAACUCUACUUGAUAGGAUUAAAAAACUUUUUUUAAAAUUAUAACUGAGUUACAGUGUUCUGUCAACUUCUGCUGUACCACACAGAGACCCAGUUAUGUGUACAUAUAUAUAUACACACAUUCUUUUUCUCACAUUAUUGUCCAUCAUGUUUCAUCACAAGUGAUUAGGUAUAUAGUUCCCUGUGCUCUGCAAAGGAUCCCACUGCCCAUCCACUCCAAAUGCAACAGUUUUCAUCUACUAAAAGACUUGGACAUUUUAGAUUAAAGUAUUUAAAGGGCAGCUUUGGAUACAGGGACAUUAGUUUAUGAAACCCAAACGAGGCUUAAUUCUGUGCUGUUUGGAACCAGUAUCAUCUAAUGGGCAGUUUUCAGUUUCAAGUCUGGUUCAAGACUGACUAUGCAGCUUUGAGUUUAGGUCAGUGUCACCUGGAAUGCAUCUUCUAUCUAUUUUGCAUGACCUUCUUUUUUGUCUGAGAGCCCUCCACUGUAGCAUCCUACCUAAAAUAUUUCCCCCCAAAGUGCACCAUUCUUUGUUUCACUUAAUAACUACCUGUAUUUGAAAGGAAAAACAUUUAAGUGUUGACAGCAGUUCUCUGAGAGUCUAAAGUACCUGGCAUACAUCUUGGCAGAGUUUUUAUUAAAGAGAAAGAGCAAAGGAACAAAGAAGAAAUCUAAAGAAGGAGCUAGACUUUUAGUUGAAACUGAGAAGGUAACCUCUCCCCCUCUUGCCCUCAUAAACAUUAAGUAUAUAUAUUUUAUAGUGAUAUUUUUAGCUCAUUCUGAUAUAUAUUGAUUUGCUUCCUGUGAGUCAUUAUCCGUUUCUUCUAUGUUAAAAAAACAUAUUAAAUAUCAAUGUGGUGAUAUAAAUAUAUAUGUGUGGGUGGAUGGGAGAGUGAAGGGAAUUUUCUUUUGAAUUCCGAGAAGGGAAAUAGCUUUCUCCUCAGUUCCCACAUCAUCCAUCAACUCAUCACAUCUUCAAUCUGCUCCAUUUUCUCCCUCAAAACAAAACUGAACAAUCACUUCUAACUUUACUUGAGAAAAAGAGGUUUCAGAAAGUUCUGGAGAUGGCCUGUUUUUUGGGGGGACUGUUGAUUUUUUUUGUAGCCCCGAUUCUGAAGAGAUGUCCAGUUGCUAUUUCCAUUUUGGGCAGUAGAGGGCAGACGUCUCCAGUCCUGCCCACCCAAGAUUGGCCCCGGCAACAUUAUGUUUAUGCAAACAGCCUUUGACAUAAUAGCUUUGAAACAGCUGAAAAUUGAAUUGUGCCUUGAGGCCAAACAUCUAGACCACCACCUUUGUUAUAUUCAUCUGCCACAGUAAAUUGGGUUCACCAUUGGCUCCGGGAGCCGGUUUUUCCUAGAUUCCAGCCCCACAAUAACUCCGCGUAGGAGAAAGACAAAUGUGACUUCUUUACACAAAACAUUGGCAGAGUUUCAUUUCACAGACUCUUAUCUGAGAGACUGGAGAUUGCAGUGUGGAUUUCUCUGGCCAUCU